UCAGCUUUGGCGCAGUAGUAGCGCACAUCAGUCUCACAAGCUGAAGGUCCUGAGUUCGAUCCUCAGAAGGAA
This 72-nucleotide transfer RNA is filed under the name Monodelphis domestica (gray short-tailed opossum). It matches the Rfam family "tRNA". From Rfam's summary of the family: Transfer RNA (tRNA) molecules are approximately 80 nucleotides in length. Their secondary structure includes four short double-helical elements and three loops (D, anti-codon, and T loops). The record is from Rfam by way of RNAcentral. Lineage: Eukaryota; Metazoa; Chordata; Mammalia; Didelphimorphia; Didelphidae.